This 253-nucleotide ribosomal RNA is filed under the name uncultured bacterium. RNAcentral describes it as "partial 16S ribosomal RNA". It matches the Rfam family "Bacterial small subunit ribosomal RNA", at positions 524 to 776 of the family's 1533-position model. The record is from RNAcentral.
UACGGAGGGUGCAAGCAUUAAUCGGAUUUAUUGGGCGUAAAGGGCGCGUAGGCGGAAAGAUAAGUCAGAUGUGAAAUCCCGGGGCUCAACCUCGGAACAGCAUUUGAAACUAUCAUUCUAGAGGAUAGAUGGAGAAAACGGAAUUCCACAAGUAGCGGUGAAAUGCGUAGAUAUGUGGAAGAACACCGGUGGCGAAGGCGGUUUUCUAAUUUAGACCUGACGCUGAGGCGCGAAAGCAAGGGGAUCAAACAGG